AAAACAAUUAGAUAUUACAACCCAUUACAUUCAAUCAUCUUCCUCAUGACACAAGUCAAUUGGGUUGUCAUUGACAGUCCCUGGGGCACCUGCUUUUGGCUGAGGACCAAAAUAGCAUGUCCUCCCGCUCCUCCUCAACCUCGAAUGAUUAUACACCAGCACCUUCGAAUCAUUCUUUUUGACGGAUCCAUCACAUGUGAUUCCGUGCCAUGUCAUCGGCGAUUUUUCUUUCUUCUUGUCGUCACCCUCCUUCUUCUUGUUCAACUCAACGUUUCCCUGAUUCUGAGAC
Molecule: long non-coding RNA, 289 nt
Filed under: Medicago truncatula (barrel medic)
Lineage: Eukaryota; Viridiplantae; Streptophyta; Magnoliopsida; Fabales; Fabaceae
Description: long non-coding RNA (MTRU_LNC006326)
Source: RNAcentral